Non-coding RNA from Desmophyllum pertusum, 77 nucleotides. The record is from the annotation of a GenBank genome assembly. Lineage: Eukaryota; Metazoa; Cnidaria; Anthozoa; Scleractinia; Caryophylliidae.
UCUCCUGUAGCUCACGAUCAGUGGUAGAGCGUCCGACGGUGUGCGGAAGGUCAUAGGUUCGACUCCUGUUGGGGAAC